UACGUAGGGGGCAAGCGUUGUCCGGAUUUAUUGGGCGUAAAGAGCUCGUAGGUGGUUUGGUAAGUCGGAUGUGAAAUCUCCAGGCUCAACCUGGAGGGGUCAUUCGAUACUGCCAUGACUAGAGGUCGGUAGGGGAGUGUGGAAUUCCUGGUGGAGCGGUGAAAUGCGCAGAUAUCAGGAGGAACACCCGUAGCGAAGGCGGCACUCUGGGCCGAUUCUGACGCUGAGGAGCGAAAGCGUGGGGAGCGAACAGG
This 254-nucleotide ribosomal RNA is filed under the name uncultured bacterium. RNAcentral describes it as "partial 16S ribosomal RNA". It matches the Rfam family "Bacterial small subunit ribosomal RNA", at positions 524 to 776 of the family's 1533-position model. The record is from RNAcentral.